RNAcentral lists this long non-coding RNA (413 nucleotides) under Phaseolus vulgaris (common bean). RNAcentral describes it as "long non-coding RNA (PVUL_LNC004519)". The record is from RNAcentral. Lineage: Eukaryota; Viridiplantae; Streptophyta; Magnoliopsida; Fabales; Fabaceae.
CAACUAGCGUUAGCGAGUGGAUGAAUCUCUGGACGGACGAUAAUUCCUCUGUUAUGGAGGCUUUCAUGUCUUCCCCCGAUCUCUCAUCCAUAUGGCCACCUCCGGCGCCGCCGCAAUCCGCCGCCGUCUUCAACCAGGACACGCUCCAGCACCGCCUCCAGGCUCUCAUCGAGGGCGCCAGAGAGAGCUGGACCUACGCCAUCUUCUGGCAGCACUCCUACGACUAUUCCGGCUCCGCUCUCCUCGGCUGGGGCGACGGUUACUACAAAGGCGACGAUGACAAAGCCAAGGCCAAGGCCAAAGCUAAAGCCACCUCCGCCGCCGAGCAGGACCACCGCAAGAAGGUCCUCCGCGAGCUCAACUCCCUCAUCUCCGGCUCUUCCGCCGCUUCCUCCGACGACGUAGACGAGGAG